UUGACCUCAGAUCAGUAGAA
RNAcentral lists this ribosomal RNA (20 nucleotides) under Emericellopsis sp. s030. Its description in RNAcentral is "partial 28S ribosomal RNA". The record is from RNAcentral. Lineage: Eukaryota; Fungi; Ascomycota; Sordariomycetes; Hypocreales; Bionectriaceae.